GAGCUAACCCGUACUAAUUACCCGUGAGGCUUAACCAUACAACACCCAAGAAGUGUUCU
This 59-nucleotide ribosomal RNA is filed under the name Aeromonas salmonicida. Its description in RNAcentral is "partial 23S ribosomal RNA". The record is from RNAcentral. Lineage: Bacteria; Pseudomonadati; Pseudomonadota; Gammaproteobacteria; Aeromonadales; Aeromonadaceae.